GACGAACGCUGGCGGCGUGCUUAACACAUGCAAGUCGAACGGAAAGGCCCUGCUUUUGUGGGGUGCUCGAGUGGCGAACGGGUGAGUAACACGUGAGUAACCUGCCCUUGACUUUGGGAUAACUUCAGGAAACUGGGGCUAAUACCGGAUAGGAGCUCCUGCUGCAUGGUGGGGGUUGGAAAGUUUCGGCGGUUGGGGAUGGACUCGCGGCUUAUCAGCUUGUUGGUGGGGUAGUGGCUUACCAAGGCUUUGACGGGUAGCCGGCCUGAGAGGGUGACCGGCCAAAUGGGGACUGGGAUACGGCCCAGACCCCUAGGGGGGGCAGCGGGGGGGAAUAUUGCACAAGGGGGGGAAGCCGGAGGCAGAACCCCGGGGGGGGGGAUGACGGCCUUGGGGUUGUAAACCGCUUUCCCCGGGGACGAAGGGGGGGGGAGGGAAAUGGGAAAAGAAGCACCGGCUAACUACGG
RNAcentral lists this ribosomal RNA (467 nucleotides) under uncultured bacterium. Its description in RNAcentral is "partial 16S ribosomal RNA". It matches the Rfam family "Bacterial small subunit ribosomal RNA", at positions 28 to 506 of the family's 1533-position model. The record is from RNAcentral.